This 496-nucleotide ribosomal RNA is filed under the name uncultured bacterium. Its description in RNAcentral is "bacterial SSU rRNA". It matches the Rfam family "Bacterial small subunit ribosomal RNA", at positions 28 to 521 of the family's 1533-position model. The record is from RNAcentral.
GAUUAACGCUAGCGGCAGGCCUAAUACAUGCAAGUCGAGGGGCAGCGCGGGUAGCAAUACCUGGCGGCGACCGGCGCACGGGUGCGUAACACGUAUGCAACCUACCUUAAACUGUGGGAUAGCCCCGAGAAAUCGGGAUUAAUACCACAUAACAUUGCGAUGAGGAGUCUCAUUGCAAUUAAAGCUCCGGCGGUUACAGAUGGGCAUGCGUGACAUUAGCUAGUUGGUGAGGUAACGGCUCACCAAGGCGACGAUGUCUAGGGGUUCUGAGAGGAUUAUCCCCCACACUGGUACUGAGACACGGACCAGACUCCUACGGGAGGCAGCAGUAAGGAAUAUUGGUCAAUGCCCGGAAGGGUGAACCAGCCAUCCCGCGUGAAGGAUGAAGGGGCUCUGCCUUGUAAACUUCUUUUGUAUGGGGCAAAAAGGGGAUUUAUCCUCGACUGACGGUACCAUAAGAAUAAGCACCGGCUAACUCCGUGCCAGCAGCCGCGGU